GGAUUAGAUACCCUGGUAGUCCACGCCCUAAACGAUGAGAACUAGCCGUUGGGGGCAUCUAAGCCCUUAGUGGCGCAGCUAACGCGUUAAGUUCUCCGCCUGGGGAGUACGGCCGCAAGGUUAAAACUCAAAGGAAUUGACGGGGGCCCGCACAAGCGGUGGAGCAUGUGGUUUAAUUCGAUGCAACGCGAAGAACCUUACCUGCCCUUGACAUCCUCAGAACUUGUUAGAGAUAACUUGGUGCCUUCGGGAACUGAGUGACAGGUGCUGCAUGGCUGUCGUCAGCUCGUGCCG
RNAcentral lists this ribosomal RNA (294 nucleotides) under uncultured bacterium. RNAcentral's name for it is "partial 16S ribosomal RNA". It matches the Rfam family "Bacterial small subunit ribosomal RNA", at positions 775 to 1067 of the family's 1533-position model. The record is from RNAcentral.